GAUGAACGCUAGCGGGAGGCCUAACACAUGCAAGCCGAGCGGUAGAGUUUCUUCGGAAACUUGAGAGCGGCGCACGGGUGCGUAACACGUGUGCAACCUACCUUUAUCUGGGGGAUAGCCUUUCGAAAGGAAGAUUAAUACCCCAUAAUAUAAUGAUUGGCAUCAAUUAUUAUUGAAAACUCCGGUGGAUAGAGAUGGGCACGCGCAAGAUUAGAUAGUUGGUGAGGUAACGGCUCACCAAGUCAAUGAUCUUUAGGGGUCCUGAGAGGGAGAUCCCCCACACUGGUACUGAGACACGGACCAGACUCCUACGGGAGGCAGCAGUGAGGAAUAUUGGACGAUGGGUGAGGGCCUAAUCCAGCCAUCCCGCGUGAAGGAUGACGGUCCUAUGGAUUGUAAACUUCUUUUGUACAGGGAUAAACCUACCCUCGUGAGGGUAGCUGAAGGUACUGUACGAAUAAGCACCGGCUAACUCCGUG
Molecule: ribosomal RNA, 479 nt
Filed under: uncultured bacterium
Lineage: Bacteria
Description: partial 16S ribosomal RNA
Rfam family: Bacterial small subunit ribosomal RNA
Source: RNAcentral